UGGGGAAUAUUGCACAAUGGGCGAAAGCCUGAUGCAGCGACGCCGCGUGAGGGAUGACGGCCUUCGGGUUGUAAACCUCUUUCAGCAGGGAAGAAGCGAAAGUGACGGUACCUGCAGAAGAAGCGCCGGCUAACUACGUGCCAGCAGCCGCGGUAAUACGUAGGGCGCAAGCGUUGUCCGGAAUUAUUGGGCGUAAAGAGCUCGUAGGCGGUUAGUCGCGUCUGCUGUGAAAACUCGAGGCUCAACCUCGGGCUUGCAGUGGGUACGGGCUGACUAGAGUGCGGUAGGGGUGACUGGAAUUCCUGGUGUAGCGGUGGAAUGCGCAGAUAUCAGGAGGAACACCGAUGGGCGAAGGCAGGUCACUGGGCCGCAACUGACGCUGAGGAGCGAAAGCAUGGGGAGCGAACAGGAUUAGAUACCCUGGUAGUCCAUGCCGUAAACGUUGGGCACUAGGUGUGGGGUCCAUUCCACGGAUUCCGUGCCGCAGCAAACGCAUUAAGUGCCCCGCCUGGGGAGUACGGCCGCAAGGCUAAAACUUAAAGGAAUUGACGGGGGUCAUAGCUGUUUCCCU
This 571-nucleotide ribosomal RNA is filed under the name uncultured bacterium. RNAcentral describes it as "partial 16S ribosomal RNA". It matches the Rfam family "Bacterial small subunit ribosomal RNA", at positions 355 to 1376 of the family's 1533-position model. The record is from RNAcentral.